AACGCGGUAGUUUAAUAAAAAUAUUUGUUUUGCGUAUAAAUGAUGGGCUUUCUCCCGUGUUA
This 62-nucleotide transfer RNA is filed under the name Ancyrocephalus mogurndae. Its description in RNAcentral is "tRNA-Ala". The record is from RNAcentral. Lineage: Eukaryota; Metazoa; Platyhelminthes; Monogenea; Dactylogyridea; Ancyrocephalidae.